GUAAUAACGUCGACGGGGAUACGUAUAUGGCCUCUUCUUUAACCAGAGAGUCCGGGAAAGGUGGAAGCCGGAUAAGAAUGCUGUAUAUAUCUCACCCCAGAGUUGCUGUUCCGAAAGAAGAGAUUUUAGUAGGAAUAAGCCGUGAAGCACGCGUUAUGUGCCAGGGUUAGCAUAGGAGAGGCUAACUCGUUGAGGUUGCUGACCGUGAGGCAGCAACGAAUUUGGGUGGUACCGCGAAACUCUUUCGCCCCAGAC
RNAcentral lists this non-coding RNA (255 nucleotides) under Aneurinibacillus migulanus. RNAcentral's name for it is "T-box sequence". It matches the Rfam family "T-box leader". From Rfam's summary of the family: Uncharged tRNA acts as the effector for transcription antitermination of genes in the T-box leader family. T-boxes are found upstream of many aminoacyl-tRNA synthetase genes and some amino acid biosynthetic genes usually in Gram-positive bacteria. The anticodon of a specific tRNA base pairs to a specifier sequence within the T-box motif, and the NCCA acceptor tail of the tRNA base pairs to a conserved bulge in the T-box antiterminator hairpin. The record is from RNAcentral. Lineage: Bacteria; Bacillati; Bacillota; Bacilli; Caryophanales; Paenibacillaceae.